Molecule: RNA transcript, 1877 nt
Organism: Hemicordylus capensis (graceful crag lizard)
Lineage: Eukaryota; Metazoa; Chordata; Lepidosauria; Squamata; Cordylidae
Gene name: defensin-B5-like
Exons: 5
Source: RefSeq, a predicted model, not a curated record
GGGAGAGCAGGCUAAGCCACCCCCGGCAGACACGACAGAAGCUUUUCUCGUGGAUCAUGAGAAGAACUUCUUAUGAGUGACUUCACACAUCACAAUGACAGCUAAGCUUCCGUACAAAGGAUGGUAUGAUGGUGAAAGCGCUAAGAACCCUGAGAAUGCUGUGGUGGAUGCUAAUGAAGAAUUCAUGCAGGGAGAUGUGGCAGACAUCAUAAGAAUAUGUGUGGAAGCUGGAGGCUAUUGUGCUACCGAACUAUGUCAUCCCGAUGAUAAAUAUAUUCAAAUCUGCUAUCACAGGAGACCUUGCUGCCGAAGGUGAAUUCCAGUUGGACCUUCAGCCAUGAGGAUCCUCUACCUUCUCUUUGCAUUCCUCUGCCUGAUGAUGCCGGUUGCUCCAGCUAAGCUUCCGUACAAAGGAUGGUCUGGUGGUGGAAGUCCUAAGAGCCCUGAGAAUGCUGUGGUGGAUGCUAAUGAAGAAUUCAUCCAGGGUAUGUUCAGAGUUGGGCUGACAACUCAGUCCUCCUUCAUAUGUUAAAUCUCCAGAAAGAACAGCACAUGGCACGAGGUGAGCAGGCUGGCUAGCUAUGCCCUCACAUGGAUGUGCUCCUUUGCCAUGUCUCCACACACAUUCAGUGCUUGUCUAUAGGGAGAGUUUCUCGAUUCUGCAGCUCAUUGUGCAAUCUGUCAGCUACUGAGGAGCUGUUUUUAAAAAAAUAUUUUAAGAACGCAAGACUUUGCCACUCUGUUGAGACCAUGACAGCCAGAAGCUGUGCAGACAUGAGGUAUAACUUGAGGAAGUCUGUUAUUUUUCACUAGAGUAAAACAAUAAAUAAAAAUAAAAAUAAAAUAAAAUAAAACACUCUGUGUGGAAGCCUGCACCUCCUGUGCCUGUAAAAACCCUCUAGUGGCCCUGUCAGGAUGUAUAAAAGAAUGGAUUUCCUGUAAGGCAGUGCUAGAACAGAAGCCAGCCGAUCGCCGCCCUUCUAGGCGGCGCAGCCCCCACCUCAAAGGAGCACAUGACACUGGGAGCCAGCUCCCAUUGGCUUCGAGGUGUCUCUGGGGCGGGGCCUUCCCGCAGCAAGCUGGCAGCAUGCAGGCGCCGGCUCAGUCCUUCUCUCCUUAGCGCAGAGAGAGGACGUCUGCGGGAGCUCCGAGGCCGGCAUAGCACGUGGCCGGGCCAAGUUGGAGCGGCCGCUGGGCCCUCUGGAGUGGCUCUCUCUCAGCGCGGCAGCGGCGAACAGCCCGCUUCCUUCGGCUGCACUGGGUGCUAUAGUAGCGGUCCAGGGCUCCCCUUCGGGCCACCAGGCCGGGGAGCCUCUUUGGCAGGCCGAGGACCCUUUUGUUGGCCCGUGGCGGCAAGCAGCGAGCGGUCUGCAUCCUGCACCCGGGGGCAGUAGCAGCAGCACAAGGCCUCCCCUUCGGAGCCUCUUUGGCGCCACAGCAGCGAGCGGCCCGCUUCUUUCGGCUGCAUUGGGGGCUGUAGUGGCGGCGGCACAGGGCUCCUAGCAUGGCCCGCUUCCUUCAGGCCGCCGAGCCAAGGACCCCCUCUCAGUGCCUCUGAGGCGAGCCUCUUUCAGCGGGGGCAGGGGUGCGGCCAGGGGGCGUUUAAGCCCUGCCGCUUUAGGUGCCCAGUGGCACGCCGCGAGGCCCUCCCUGCAACGGAGGCGGAGGUUCUCCAGCCUCCACAGGCGGGACUGUCGAGCGGCCCGCCGGGGAUACGCCCCCUUCUUUUUUUCUACAAGGGGAAUCAGGCCUCGCCACCCCUCCUUUUCCCUGAGCGGGCCUUUCCAGCUGCUUCACUACUCCUCAGCCAUCCAUCGGGAGCAGCCCUUCAGGAGGACCAUCAUUUGAGCACUGCAGGCCGGUCUCCCGGCCGAGGU